GACGAACGCUGGCGGCGUGCCUAAUACAUGCAAGUCGAACGCUGAAGGAGGAGCUUGCUUCUCCGGAUGAGUUGCGAACGGGUGAGUAACGCGUAGGUAACCUGCCUGGUAACGGGGGAUAACUAUUGGAAACGAUAGCUAAUACCGCAUAACAGUAGAUAUUGCAUGAUAUCUGUUUGAAAGGUGCAAUUGCAUCACUACCAGAUGGACCUGCGUUGUAUUUGCUAGUUGUUGUGGUAACGGCUCACCAAGGCGACGAUACAUAGCCGACCUGUGAGGGUGAUCGGCCACACUGGGACUGAGACACGGCCCAGACUCCUACGGGAGGCAGCAGUAGGGAAUCUUCGGCAAUGGACGGAAGUCUGACCGAGCAACGCCGCGUGAGUGAAGAAGGUUUUCGGAUCGUAAAGCUCUGUUGUAAGAGAAGAACGAGUGUGAGAGUGGAAAGUUCACACUGUGACGGUAUCUUACCAGAAAGGGACGGCUAACUACGUG
Molecule: ribosomal RNA, 495 nt
Filed under: uncultured bacterium
Lineage: Bacteria
Description: partial 16S ribosomal RNA
Rfam family: Bacterial small subunit ribosomal RNA
Source: RNAcentral